This 384-nucleotide ribosomal RNA is filed under the name uncultured bacterium. RNAcentral describes it as "bacterial SSU rRNA". It matches the Rfam family "Bacterial small subunit ribosomal RNA", at positions 30 to 416 of the family's 1533-position model. The record is from RNAcentral.
AUUGAACGCUGGCGGCAUGCUUUACACAUGCAAGUCGAACGGCAGCGCGGGGCAACCUGGCGGCGAGUGGCGAACGGGUGAGUAAUAUAUCGGAACGUACCCAAGAGUGGGGGAUAACGUAGCGAAAGUUACGCUAAUACCGCAUACGAUCUAAGGAUGAAAGCAGGGGACCGCAAGGCCUUGUGCUCCUGGAGCGGCCGAUAUCUGAUUAGCUAGUUGGUGAGGAAUGGCUCACCAAGGCGACGAUCAGUAGCUGGUCUGAGAGGACGACCAGCCACACUGGGAACUGAGACACGGUCCAGACUCCUACGGGAGGCAGCAGUGGGGAAUUUUGGACAAUGGGCGCAAGCCUGAUCCAGCAAUGCCGCGUGAGUGAAGAAGGCC